GAUGAACGCUAGCGGCAGGCCUAACACAUGCAAGUCGAGGGGUAACUAGAGUGAUAGCAAUAUUACUUUGGCUAGACCGGCGCACGGGUGCGUAACACGUAUGCAACCUACCUUAUACUGGGGAAUAACUUCGAGAAAUCGGCGCUAAUACCCCAUAACACUGCGGAAAGGCCUCUCUUUGCAGUUAAAGCUCCGGCGGUAUAAGUUGGGCAUGCGUCCAAUUCGCUAGUUGGUGAGGUAACGGCUCAACAAGGCUACGAUUGGUAGGGGUUCUGAGAGGAUGAUCCCCCACACUGGUACUGAGACACGGACCAGACUCCUACGGGAGGCAGCAGUGAGGAAUAUUGCGCAAUGGACGAAAGUCUGACGCAGCCAUGCCGCGUGCAGGAUGACGGCCCUAUGGGUUGUAAACUGCUUUUGUACGGGAAUAAACCCUUCUACGUGUAGGAGGCUGAAGGUACCGUAAGAAUAAGCACCGGCUAACUCCGUGCCAGCAGCCGCAGUAA
RNAcentral lists this ribosomal RNA (506 nucleotides) under uncultured bacterium. RNAcentral's name for it is "partial 16S ribosomal RNA". It matches the Rfam family "Bacterial small subunit ribosomal RNA", at positions 28 to 523 of the family's 1533-position model. The record is from RNAcentral.